UACGUAGGUGGCAAGCGUUGUCCGGAAUUACUGGGUGUAAAGGGAGCGCAGGCGGGAAGCCAAGUCAGCUGUGAAAACUACGGGCUUAACUUGUAGACUGCAGUUGAAACUGGUUUUCUUGAGUGAAGUAGAGGUUGGCGGAAUUCCGAGUGUAGCGGUGAAAUGCGUAGAUAUUCGGAGGAACACCGGUGGCGAGGGCGGUCUGCUGGACUGCAACUGACGUUGAGGCCCGAAAGCGUGGGGAGCAAACAGG
RNAcentral lists this ribosomal RNA (253 nucleotides) under uncultured bacterium. RNAcentral describes it as "partial 16S ribosomal RNA". It matches the Rfam family "Bacterial small subunit ribosomal RNA", at positions 524 to 776 of the family's 1533-position model. The record is from RNAcentral.